UGAAGGGUUUAGCUGAGUUACAAUUAUUAAAUAAAACGGAUUUGUUAAUGAAAUAUUAAAUGGAAGGUGUACUUAUUAGUAAAUUUUUAUAAGAGAGGAAAAUUGAAUAGGGUAAUUGGAGUGCGUACAAAUCGCCCGAUACCCUACGUAUUUAAAAUCGAGGUAAGUCGUAACAUAGUAAUGCUAGUACAAAUUGGUAUUAU
Molecule: ribosomal RNA, 203 nt
Filed under: Pliocardia stearnsii
Lineage: Eukaryota; Metazoa; Mollusca; Bivalvia; Venerida; Vesicomyidae
Description: partial 12S ribosomal RNA
Source: RNAcentral